CUUUCUUUGCUGGCGACCGGCGCACGGGUGAGUAACACGUAUCCAACCUGCCCUUUACUCGGGGAUAGCCUUUCGAAAGAAAGAUUAAUACCCGAUAGCAUAAUGAUUCCGCAUGGUUUCAUUAUUAAAGGAUUCCGGUAAAGGAUGGGGAUGCGUUCCAUUAGGUUGUUGGUGUGGUAACGGCUCACCAAGCCUUCGAUGGAUAGGGGUUCUGAGAGGAAGGUCCCCCACAUUGGAACUGAGACACGGUCCAA
RNAcentral lists this ribosomal RNA (254 nucleotides) under uncultured bacterium. RNAcentral's name for it is "partial 16S ribosomal RNA". It matches the Rfam family "Bacterial small subunit ribosomal RNA", at positions 79 to 334 of the family's 1533-position model. The record is from RNAcentral.